This is a non-coding RNA of Phascolarctos cinereus (koala), 1384 nucleotides long. The record is from RefSeq and is a predicted model, not a curated record. NCBI's taxonomy places the organism in Eukaryota, Metazoa, Chordata, Mammalia, Diprotodontia, Phascolarctidae.
UGGAACAAAAGGGGAAACUCUGAUGAACUCUCUCCAUCCUCCUCCUCUGACGCCUGGUUAUCUCUCCUCUCACAACUUUGCUGGAGAGACUCUCUCCAGUGCUAGGCACCCAACAAAUUCGGGGGCUUUAGGAACUGGAGUUAGAGAACCAUCUCUUUUAAAAUGGAUAAAAGAGGGGGGAGAAGAAGGUGCCGGAAUGAUGAUGGGCAACAUCUAGGAAGCAAGACAAUGGCUAGAAUACCUUUCUAGCAAGUUACCUCCUCCAGGCUGCAUUGUUCUUGUUGGACAUUUCUGACAAUGGAUAUAGCCAGGCCAAGCGGAGUGAAAGACUCUAACCUUCACUUGGGAUUAUCAUUUAAGAAUUUGACGCUGGGAGUUUUGGAUAUGACAUGACUAUUAUGAAGGAUACUGUUACUGUUGGGAAUACAACUUCUUGAUCACUGGGAAUUCUCUGUCUUAUAGAAGGUAUUGGCUAAAUCUCAUUUUACUGGAUGGCCACUGAAGCAUGAUCACAAGACAGACAUGGUGGAUAAGUGCUUCUCAGUAUCUUGAAGUGGACAAAUACUGAAGGGGUGGAAAUUGGAAUUAGCCUGGACUAGCUGAGAUGGCUGUCUAGCCUCUACUUGCAUAUCUCCAGUGACGGUAUGCUCACCGCCUUAGGAGAUGACCACUUCCAUUGUUGGAAACCUCCAAUUACCAAUAAUACCACAAGGAUGGGCAACUAUGGUAAAAACCUAGGACAGCAUAUGCACCUGGAAGAAUACUACUCACAUGGCAUUGCAAGUGCCUUCCAUAGAAAUGAAGUCAACCCAGAUAAUUUUGAUCAUUUCAAAUCAUGGAUUUAAGCACCAUCUGGAAGUUGACCACCAAUUGAGAAUGCGGCAUCUUGAACUUGAAUUUCAUAACCCUGAAAACAAUUAAAUUUUAUAGGGAAAAGGAGGGGAUGAGGAUGGGAGGAGCAAUUUGAGAUUUAGAAGAGAAACGGGCACUUGAAGUUCUCUCCAACAUCAUCGGUAUCUUUCAGAUGAAUCUUUGGUAGGGUCAAGGAAUUAUUUUCAUUGGCGUUCUGACUUACCUGGUAAAUUAGGCAGACAUGUCUGUGCAAAGUAAAGGUGUUAAGUGAAGAGGAUUGGGUCACCUUGAGCUGGAUUGUAAUUAAAAACAGAACAAACAAACAAAAAACUCUUUUCAUCAUGUUGAAAACUUUUGCCUUACCAAAGGGAAUGAAGUCCCUGAAGCAGAGCAAAACCAUCUGUAAAAUGAGAGGAUUGCACUACAUGGCCUCUAAAGUUCCUUCAGAUUCUGUGAUCUUGGUAGUGCAGAUAAAAAUAUCUGGUGAACAAAUACCAUAGUGACAUUUUCUGAAUAAAAAUACUCAAUAAUA